This 294-nucleotide ribosomal RNA is filed under the name Uroplatus fiera. Its description in RNAcentral is "partial 12S ribosomal RNA". The record is from RNAcentral. Lineage: Eukaryota; Metazoa; Chordata; Lepidosauria; Squamata; Gekkonidae.
CUAUAAUCGAUAACCCACGCUAAACCUUACCUGCCCUUGAAUUAAUCAGCCUAUAUACCUCCGUCGCCAGUCCGCCUGUCAACAGCCACUAAAGCGCGUACAACAGCCCAUCGCUCACACGACAGGUCAAGGUGUAGCUAAUGGGCACAGGCAGAGAUGGGCUACAUUUUCUACAUAAGAAAAUACCUAAAAUGCAAUGAAAUAUAGCUUGCAAGGCGGAUUUAGCAGUAAGCGGGGCCAGACAAGCCCCCCUGAAGCCUUCCAUGAGAUGUGUACACACCGCCCGUCACCCUC